UACGGGGGGCAGCAGUGGGGAAUAUUGGACAAUGGCGCAAGCCUGAUCCAGCCAUGCCGCGUGUGUGAAGAAGGCCUCGGGUUGUAAAGCACUUUCAGUGGGGAAGAAAGCCUUCCGGUUAAUACCCGGAGGAGGGACAUCACCCACAGAAGAAGCACCGGCUAACUCCGUGCCAGCAGCCGCGGUAA
RNAcentral lists this ribosomal RNA (188 nucleotides) under uncultured bacterium. RNAcentral describes it as "partial 16S ribosomal RNA". It matches the Rfam family "Bacterial small subunit ribosomal RNA", at positions 340 to 523 of the family's 1533-position model. The record is from RNAcentral.